UAUUCUACCUACACUGGACCACCACGUUUGAAAUAUCUUUUUCAGUUAGUCAGACACAAACCAUAGUAGCUUAGUGUACAAUACUACCUACACUGGGACCUCCGCGUUUGAGAUAUUUUUUUUCAGGUCCUGAAAAAGAUAUCUCAAACGUGGUAGCCUGUGUAGGUAGUAAUCUACAAUAAGCUGUCGUGGUUUGUGUCUGAACUACCUGAAAAAGAUAUCUCAAACGUGGUGGUCCAGUGUAGAUAGUAUU
Paramuricea clavata is the source of this 253-nucleotide non-coding RNA. NCBI's taxonomy places the organism in Eukaryota, Metazoa, Cnidaria, Anthozoa, Malacalcyonacea, Plexauridae. The record is from the annotation of a GenBank genome assembly.